CCUACGGGAGGCAGCAGUGAGGAAUAUUGGUCAAUGGCCGGAAGACUGAACCAGCCAAGCCGCGUGAGGGACGAAGGUACCAAGCAUUGUAAACUUCUUUUGUCAGGGGACAAAAUCAGGCUCGAGAGCCUGGCCGAGGGUACUUGAAGAAAAAGCAUCGGCUAACUCCGUGCCAGCAGCCGCGGUAAUACGGAGGAUGCGAGCGUUAUCCGGAUUUAUUGGGCGUAAAGGGUGCGUAGACGGCAUAUUAAGUCUUUGGUAAAAAUGCUGGGCUCAACCCAGUAGGGCAAAAGAUACUGCAAAGCUAGAGUAUGAGAGAGGCAAGUGGAAGUACAGGUGUAGCGGUAAAAUGCGUAAAUAUAGGGAAGAACACCAGUUGCGAAGGCGGCUUGCCGGGUCGAUACUGACAUUGAGGCACGAAAGCGUGGGGAGCAAACAGGAUUAGAUACCCGUGUAGUC
Molecule: ribosomal RNA, 459 nt
Filed under: uncultured bacterium
Lineage: Bacteria
Description: partial 16S ribosomal RNA
Rfam family: Bacterial small subunit ribosomal RNA
Source: RNAcentral